AUUGAACGCUGGCGGCAGGCCUAACACAUGCAAGUCGAACGAGUGGCGGACGGGUGAGUAAUGUCUGGGAAACUGCCUGAUGGCGGGGGAUAACUACUGGAAACGGUAGCUAAUACCGCAUACCAUCAGAUGUGCCCAGAUGGGAUUAGCUAGUUGGUGGGGUAACGGCUCACCACGGCGACGAUCCCUAGCUGGUCUGAGAGGAUGAUCGGCCACACUGGAACUGAGACACGGUCCAGACUCCUACGGGAGGCAGCAGUGGGGAAUAUUGAGCAAUGGGCGCAAGCCUGACGCAGCCAUGCCGCGUGUAUGAAGAAGGUCUUCGGAUUGUAAAGUACUUUCAGCGGGGAGGCGGUACCCACAGAGAAAGCACCGGCUAACUCCGUGCCAGCAGCCGCGGUAAUAC
This 406-nucleotide ribosomal RNA is filed under the name uncultured bacterium. RNAcentral's name for it is "partial 16S ribosomal RNA". It matches the Rfam family "Bacterial small subunit ribosomal RNA", at positions 30 to 526 of the family's 1533-position model. The record is from RNAcentral.